Molecule: unclassified non-coding RNA, 312 nt
Filed under: Hevea brasiliensis (rubber tree)
Lineage: Eukaryota; Viridiplantae; Streptophyta; Magnoliopsida; Malpighiales; Euphorbiaceae
Source: RNAcentral
GCCCCGACCCUCAAAACCAAUCUUCCAAUCCCCCUCAAUCCGAUUCCAAUUCCUCCUUCUCAGGUGAUCCUCAGGUCCGUCUUGCCCUUUACAUCGCCAUGGCCCACGCCGGCCUUGCCUUCACCAUUCUCACCCUCUACGCCGUCGGUCGUAUUCUCGAGGCCUAUCUCCGCCCCCUUCAGUGGGCCGUCCUCUGUUCUAUCCCUCUUCGUGGAAUUCAACAAACCCUUGAAGGGUUCUGGUCUGAACCCCUUCAAUUGGGCCUUACCGAGACUCUUCUCGCCAUCCCUGUUGCUGUUUUUCAGGUUUUUG